GGUAACCGUGGGCCAGGCGGCGGGUGAAGUGAGAGGGUGCGAGGGUUGUUCGGGAUUGUUGGGCGUAAAGGGGGUGGAGGCGGCUGGUUAUGGCGGGUGUGAAAGCCCUCAGCUCAACGGAGGAAGUGCGCCCGAAACUGGCGAGCUUGAGUGCCGGAGAGGAGAGCGGAACACCCGGUGUAGAGGUGAAAUUCGUAGAUAUCGGGUAGAACACCAGUGGCGAAGGCGGCUAUCUGGACGGACACUGACGCUGAGACGCGAAAGCGUGGGGAGCAAACAGGAUUAGAUACCCCUGUAGUC
This 300-nucleotide ribosomal RNA is filed under the name uncultured Pyrobaculum sp. RNAcentral's name for it is "bacterial SSU rRNA". The stretch from base 52 to 300 matches the Rfam family "Bacterial small subunit ribosomal RNA", at positions 547 to 795 of the family's 1533-position model. Lineage: Archaea; Thermoproteati; Thermoproteota; Thermoprotei; Thermoproteales; Thermoproteaceae. The record is from RNAcentral.